RNAcentral lists this unclassified non-coding RNA (356 nucleotides) under soil metagenome. Its description in RNAcentral is "partial contains 5.8S ribosomal RNA, internal transcribed spacer 2, and large subunit ribosomal RNA". The stretch from base 1 to 120 matches the Rfam family "5.8S ribosomal RNA", at positions 35 to 154 of the family's 154-position model. The record is from RNAcentral.
GAUGAAGAACGCAGCGAAAUGCGAUAAGUAAUGUGAAUUGCAGAGUUCAGUGAAUCAUCGAAUCUUUGAACGCACAUUGCGCCCGCCAGUAUUCUGGCGGGCAUGCCUGUCCGAGCGUCAUUUCAACCCUCGAACCCCUCCGGGGGUCCGGCGUUGGGGAUCGGGAACCCCUAAGACGGGAUCCCGGCCCCGAAAUACAGUGGCGGUCUCGCCGCAGCCUCUCAUGCGCAGUAGUUUGCACAACUCGCACCGGGAGCGCGGCGCGUCCACGUCCGUAAAACACCCAACUUCUGAAAUGUUGACCUCGGAUCAGGUAGGAAUACCCGCUGAACUUAAGCAUAUCAAUAAGCGGAGGA